RNAcentral lists this ribosomal RNA (463 nucleotides) under uncultured bacterium. RNAcentral describes it as "partial 16S ribosomal RNA". It matches the Rfam family "Bacterial small subunit ribosomal RNA", at positions 28 to 507 of the family's 1533-position model. The record is from RNAcentral.
GACGAACGCUGGCGGCGUGCUUAACACAUGCAAGUCGAACGGAAAGGCCUUUUCGGAGGUACUCGAGUGGCGAACGGGUGAGUAACACGUGGGUGAUCUGCCCUGCACUCUGGGAUAAGCCUGGGAAACUGGGUCUAAUACCGGAUAGGACCGCACUUUAGUGUGUGUGGUGGAAAGAUUUUUCGGUGUAGGAUGAGCCCGCGGCCUAUCAGCUUGUUGGUGGGGUAAUGGCCUACCAAGGCGGCGACGGGUAGCCGGACUGAGAGGUUGGUCGGCCACAUUGGGACUGAGAUACGGCCCAGACUCCUACGGGAGGCAGCAGUGGGGAAUAUUGCACAAUGGGCGCAAGCCUGAUGCAGCGACGCCGCGUGGGGGAUGACGGCCUUCGGGUUGUAAACUCCUUUCGCCAGGGACGAAGCGUUUUGUGACGGUACCUGGAGAAGAAGCACCGGCUAACUACGUG